RNAcentral lists this ribosomal RNA (465 nucleotides) under uncultured bacterium. Its description in RNAcentral is "partial 16S ribosomal RNA". It matches the Rfam family "Bacterial small subunit ribosomal RNA", at positions 338 to 795 of the family's 1533-position model. The record is from RNAcentral.
CCUACGGGAGACAGCAGUGGGGAAUAUUGCGCAAUGGGCGAAAGCCUGACGCAGCGACGCCGCGUGAGGGAUGAAGGUCUUCUGAUCGUAAACCUCUGUCAGCAGGGAAGAACGGUCACUGUGCUAAUCACCAGUGAAUUGACGGUACCUGCAAAGGAAGCACCGGCUAACUCCGUGCCAGCAGCCGCCGUAAUACGGAGGGUGCGAGCGGUAAUCGGAAUUACUGGGCGUAAAGCGCUCGUAGGCGGUAUGUCAAGUCAAGGGUGAAAUCCCCGCGCUCAACGUGGGAACUGCAUUUGAAACUGGCAGACUGGAGUGUGUGAGAGGAUAGUGGAAUGCCAGGUGUAGGAGUGAAAUCCGUAGAUAUCUGGAGGAACAUCAGUGGCGAAGGCGACUAACUGGCACAUAACUGACGCUGAGGAGCGAAAGCGUGGGUAGCAAACAGGAUUAGAUACCCGUGUAGUC